Long non-coding RNA from Brienomyrus brachyistius, 2208 nucleotides. RefSeq lists it as uncharacterized. The transcript is spliced from 3 exons. The record is from RefSeq and is a predicted model, not a curated record. NCBI's taxonomy places the organism in Eukaryota, Metazoa, Chordata, Actinopteri, Osteoglossiformes, Mormyridae.
AAAGAUUAUCGUGGUUUUUGAACCAAAAUAGCUUUAGGUAUAUACCAUCAUACCAUCGUAACAAAUGCUGUAAGUGCUUACCUGUAUGGCUGUGAGGUUCGAGGGGCAGAACGAGUGACGUUGUGAGGUUCGAGGGACAGAACGGGUGACGCUGUGAGGUUCAAGGGGCAGAACGGGCAACACUGUGAGGUUCGAGGUGCGGAAUGGGCGACGCUGUGAGGUUUGAGGGGCAGAACGGGUGACGCUGUGAGGUUCGAGGGGCAGAACGGGCGACGCUGUGAGGUUCGAGGGGCAGAACGGGCGACGCUGUGAGGUUCGAGGGGCAGAACGGGCGACGCUGUGAGGUUCGAGGGGCAGAACGGGCGACGCUGUGAGGUUCGAGGGGCAGAACGGGCGACGCUGUGAGGUUCGAGGGGCAGAACGGGCGACGCUGUGAGGUUCGAGGGGCAGAACGGGCGACGCUGUGUAUGUGUGUGCACGUUACCUUCUCCCAACUUCCCUGCAGUCCCAUUCUGUCACAAACCUGCAACACAUUCAGUGUCGGUCAGUUGAAGCACGUCCAGACAAGGGCGUCUCUGUCUGUCUCAGUCUUGCAGGACUGCAGGUACAUGCACUGCAUCUUAGAAUUGCAAGGACACACUACUUCAUUUGAAUGUAUUUUUUACUCAUUUUAUUUGAAAGAAUAAUUUUUAAUUGACCAGUCAUUUAGCCUAAUAGAAUCGACCUACUAGGUGUGUUGACAGAUAUCACUUGAAUCCUGCCUAAUGGUAAUAUAAUGGUAGUAUACUUAUAUAUGUCUAUAUGUUAUUGUACUAUAUAAUUGUUCCAUAGUUAUAUGAAUUAUUCACAUAAGUGACAAAAGCCUUCAGCUACGAGGGAGAAUCGAGCCCUUUGUCUCUCAAAUAUUAUUCACAUUCAUUGAAUGUAGCUUUGAAUGGCACAUCUGCCAGUCGUGUGUCAUUCUGCAUGGCGCCCUUAUGUCUGCCCACCUUUCCUGACUUCUGCUCAGUGUCCGCUCUGCCCACUGAAGCUGAUGCCAGUUUAAAGACCACGUACUCACCUACAUGGCCUGUCCCGUCUAUCAAUUCAUUUUGAUUUAUUACAGCACAUUGUUACGACUGUGGUUGUAAUUACUUUACGGUAAGUUAAACAUUAAAUGAAAAUACAGGGGAAAACUAAAAUAUAUCAUAAAAAAUGCCACAGUGCUAGUCAGCUAAUGAGGGUAAUCCCAUGCAAUGUAUAUUAAACCCCAACCUAUGAGCUGAAAUUUCCAAAAACCGAUAUGAGCCAUUUCAAAUUGUUAGACAUUAAACUGACACCAACAGUUUUAUUAAAGCUAUGCAUUAUUGUCAAAUAUAUGCUAAUUCCUUACAUUCAAAUAACAGCAGAACCUCACAAAAUCAUACAUUGAAAUAAUAAUAAAAAUAAACAUGAAACAAGUCACCUGCAAGAAACUUUAUAACUUUCUCACAAUGUUGAACUCUUAACACAGUGCAAAUAUAUUUACAUUUACUUACAUAACAUAUAGUACUAAAUUAUCUGUAACAAUCAGUGGAGGUUUCUUCAUGGCAACAGGUGAAGCAAUGCUCAGCAAAAAAAGAAAAGAAAAAUACUUUGCAUUCAUACUAGUAAAAUAUCUUUUUAAUGCCAAUGCAUCAUCACCGGGGGCGGCAUGGUGGUGCAGUGGUUAGCACUGUUGCCUCACACUUCUGGGACCCGGGUUCGGGUCUCCGCCUGGGUCGCAUGUGUGUGUGGAGUAUGCAUGUUCUCCCCAUGUCGUCGUGGGGUUUCCUCCGGGUACUCUGGUUUCCCCCCACAGUCCAAAGACAUGCUGAGGCUAAUUGGAGUUGCUAAAUUGCCCGUAGGAGUGCAUGUGUGAGUGACUGGUGUGUGAGUGUGCCCUGCGAUGGGCUGGCCCCCCAUCCUGGGUUGUUUCCUGCCUCAUGCCUAUUGCUUCCGGGCUAGGCUCCGGACUCCUUGCGACCCAGUAAGAUAAGCAGUUUGGAUGGAUGGAUCUAUCAUCACAACGACUGUUUCAUGUAGAACCUGUGCUGGAUUCUCAGUGGACUGUUGCCUUUUAAUGUCAGUACAAUCACAAUUGUCUGAGUUGAUAAUAUCAGCAAAUUGGCAUAACACAUUAUUAGAUGGUAACUGUGAAAGAGUUUCGUAACAGAACUACACUGACUGAUCUUCCUCAUGUCUCGUGUU